UAGGGAAUCUUCGGCAAUGGGGGCAACCCUGACCGAGCAACGCCGCGUGAGUGAAGAAGGUUUUCGGAUCGUAAAGCUCUGUUGUAAGUCAAGAACGGGUGUGAGAGUGGAAAGUUCACACUGUGACGGUAGCUUACCAGAAAGGGACGGCUAACUACGUGCCAGCAGCCGCGGUAAUACGUAGGUCCCGAGCGUUGUCCGGAUUUAUUGGGCGUAAAGCGAGCGCAGGCGGUUUGAUAAGUCUGAAGUUAAAGGCUGUGGCUCAACCAUAGUUCGCUUUGGAAACUGUCAAACUUGAGUGCAGAAGGGGAGAGUGGAAUUCCAUGUGUAGCGGUGAAAUGCGUAGAUAUAUGGAGGAACACCGGUGGCGAAAGCGGCUCUCUGGUCUGUAACUGACGCUGAGGCUCGAAAGCGUGGGGAGCGAACAGGAUUAGAUACCCUGGUAGUCCACGCCGUAAACGAUGAGUGCUAGGUGUUGGAUCCUUUCCGGGAUUCAGUGCCGAAGCUAACGCAUUAAGCACUCCGCCUGGGGGAGUACGACCGCAAGGUUGAAAC
RNAcentral lists this ribosomal RNA (555 nucleotides) under uncultured bacterium. Its description in RNAcentral is "partial 16S ribosomal RNA". It matches the Rfam family "Bacterial small subunit ribosomal RNA", at positions 355 to 900 of the family's 1533-position model. The record is from RNAcentral.